GAUGGUCUAUAUAAAUAAUGGGACACUACCAUUGUUUCUCAUCAUAUUACUAGCUUAACUGCAUCUCGAGAUACAGGUCCAUAGGGCGACUUAUUUAAAAGAGAGAAGAUGCCACCACCAGGUUGGGGACCGCCGCCGGGAGGACCACCCGGAGGCCCGGGAAUUUGUGGCUGCUUUGGCUUCUUAUGUGAUGGUAUCUGCAGGGUUGUGAAUUCAUGUUGCUAUGUUCUGUGCUGCUGCUGCAUCUUUGAAAGGUGUUGUGGACCCAUGUUUGGUGGACCGGGCGGUCCUGGCGGUCCAGGCGGUCCAGGUGGUCCAGGUCGUUUCUGAUCACCGCAUGUUGACUUGUUGAUUGUUAUGAACACAAUCGUGGCCUAAAUAGUGGGAUAGAGAUUGGCGACUUUCUUCUUCUUCUUCGAGUACCUUGUAUUGUUGUUCAUUUCUACGGUUAUGUGAUAGCACAACCAGAGGUAGUUUUUAAUCGUAUUUUUACGUCUUGUAAUAAUAUUACAAUAUGGGAGUGCUGCUUUUCUUUCCUCAACUCAUGAUCACGCAUUUGUCGGUCUUGUUU
Populus euphratica (Euphrates poplar) is the source of this 571-nucleotide long non-coding RNA. RefSeq lists it as uncharacterized. The transcript has 2 exons. Lineage: Eukaryota; Viridiplantae; Streptophyta; Magnoliopsida; Malpighiales; Salicaceae. The record is from RefSeq and is a predicted model, not a curated record.